CCUACGGGAUGCAGCAGUGGGGAAUAUUGCUCAAUGGGGGAAACUCUGAUGCAGCGACGCCGCGUGAGUGAAGAAGUAUUUCGGUACGUAAAGCUCUAUCAGAAGGGAAGAAAAUGACUGUACCUGACCAAGACGCCCCGUCUAACUACGUGCCAGCAUCCGCGGUAAUACGUAGGGGGCCAGCGUUGUCCGGAUUUACUGGGUGUAAAGGCAGCGUAGACGGCAGCGCAAGGCUGGAGGGAAAGGCCGGGGCCCAACCCAGAAACUGCUUUGGAAAGUGUGCAGCUGGAGUGCAGGAGAGGAAAGCGGAAUUCCUAGUGUAGCGGUGAAAGGCGUAGAUAUUAGGAGGAACACCAGUGGCGAAGGCGGCUUACUGGACUGUAACUGACGUUGAGGCUCGAAAGCGUGGGGAGCAAACAGGAUUAGAUACCCGAGUAGUC
RNAcentral lists this ribosomal RNA (440 nucleotides) under uncultured bacterium. Its description in RNAcentral is "partial 16S ribosomal RNA". It matches the Rfam family "Bacterial small subunit ribosomal RNA", at positions 338 to 795 of the family's 1533-position model. The record is from RNAcentral.